Molecule: long non-coding RNA, 1041 nt
Filed under: Callithrix jacchus (white-tufted-ear marmoset)
Lineage: Eukaryota; Metazoa; Chordata; Mammalia; Primates; Cebidae
Description: lncRNA (ENSCJAG00000078819.1)
Source: RNAcentral
CACCCUCCGUGCCCAUCGGCCGUGUGAUAUUCAUUUGAAAUAUUUUUCUUAGUUGUGAUCAACUAGAAACUGAGAUCAGAACUGGGUUUUACUUUUCCGAAUAAAGUAGUGAACUUGGCUAAGGAAACGAAUGGGGAUUACACCCACAGUGAUUACCAGGCUAAUGGGAGCUGCAGAGGACACUGGAAAGCCAUGGGUGUGAUGGGCACAGACACUAUGGUCCCUUCAGGAUAAGGUACAUAAACACCUUGGACCUCCAAUGACAAACCCACACAUCAAUCCUGAGUUGUUGGUGGUGUUGCUAUUCUUUCUUUCUUUCUUUCAUUUUUUUUUCUGAGACAAUAACUGAGGGAGACUGAACUGGAAUGGGGAGGCUGAGAUUUGUACUUUAGAAAAUCUAUCCUCACAUCUUAAGUGGUCUUCCAAGGAAUAAACUGGCAUGUGAUUGUCUGCGAACCUCUUGUUGGUCCUUAAGGAACCAUCGGGCCUUACGGGGUGGAGAAAAAGCAGCUACUUGAGUGUGUGAAGCUGUCCUCUGCAAAUCUGGGAGGACGAAUUCACCAUUUUGAAAACAGAGAACCUACCCAAUGCCUGGGUGUGGUAAGGAGAGGAAGAGCCGGAAGUACUUCAGUUGAGAGAAAUUCUUCACAACAAAGUUCCAGCGGGAAUUCUGCUCCGGGCUUCAGGCAUGAGCUGUGGAAAUCCUGCCUCCUCUCCUGGGUACAUAAGUCAGUGUUUUUAGAUGCAAGUGAUAGAAGCCCGACUUUAAAAAGAUUGAGCUAAAAUAUAGGAAUGUACCAGCAUAAAUAAGAAAGGAUAAAUCAUUCCUAAAGAUUAGCCUGUUUCAGGGACAUCUACGCUCUGUCUUGAUGUCUUUAUUUUUUUUUUUUCUUCUGCUUUCUUAUACCCCUACACACACACACACACACACACACACACACACACACACACAUUACAACAAAACACAACACACAGUGCUCUAAAAAACAGAGCACCGUUUUUUAGUUAAUGUUCCCCAUGCUGGAAAAACUCCUUCUUAGA